UCUUGGUAGUCUGGUGUGCUUUGAAACCUUCUCUCUCUUUAGGGACCCAAAAAUAUCGUAUCUCCGGUGAAAGGUCAUAAAGGCAUCUUCCAGGCAUGGGAUCCUGUCAAGGGCCCUGAAAUUACUUCAGGGCGGGAUGUCACCUAUUAGUUUGACCAACUCUUCCUGCAGAAAGUGAGGGGCAGUGUGGUGAGGACAAGAAGCUGACACUAACAGGUGGCUUACAGGAAAGAGGUGACUUCAGAAAUGUGUUACUUACCUAGAUUUCUUCGCCUGCUAUUGAAAAUAAAGAAUAUUUCUGCUCCAAUGGUGUGCUGGAACUUCCACGUAGGACUUCUGGAUUCCUACAAAAGAACUACCAUCUGAAAGUACUGGUAAAAAUCAAUGCUUCUGUGGAAGAAUGAUGAUAUAAAGCUCCUAUUCUGCCAUCUUGCUAACAUCACUCUCUAAAGUUACUUUUAAAGGAAUAAAA
This 472-nucleotide long non-coding RNA is filed under the name Homo sapiens (human). Its description in RNAcentral is "non-protein coding lnc-SPATA45-2:1". The record is from RNAcentral. Lineage: Eukaryota; Metazoa; Chordata; Mammalia; Primates; Hominidae.